Molecule: ribosomal RNA, 326 nt
Filed under: Citrobacter amalonaticus
Lineage: Bacteria; Pseudomonadati; Pseudomonadota; Gammaproteobacteria; Enterobacterales; Enterobacteriaceae
Also listed under: 1 other name
Description: 23S rRNA. Bacterial LSU
Rfam family: Bacterial large subunit ribosomal RNA
Source: RNAcentral
UGGGUUUAGAACGUCGUGAGACAGUUCGGUCCCUAUCUGCCGUGGGCGCUGGAGAAUUGAGGGGGGCUGCUCCUAGUACGAGAGGACCGGAGUGGACGCAUCACUGGUGUUCGGGUUGUCAUGCCAAUGGCACUGCCCGGUAGCUAAAUGCGGAAGAGAUAAGUGCUGAAAGCAUCUAAGCACGAAACUUGCCCCGAGAUGAGUUCUCCCUGACCCUUUAAGGGUCCUGAAGGAACGUUGAAGACGACGACGUUGAUAGGCCGGGUGUGUAAGCGCAGCGAUGCGUUGAGCUAACCGGUACUAAUGAACCGUGAGGCUUAACCUUA